GCAGCGGUCUGCAGACGUGACUUCUGAUCAAAUUCGAACCACCUCCUAAAGAAACAAAGAGCGACAUUACAUUGCGGGAUGACGUCACCUGAAAAUGACCAAUAGCGCGGGGCGCUGCUGAGCUGUGUGCCAACCGCUCUUUUUUUUCAUGCAGGAGACUCAAGUUGGCUUCGCUAACGGACACAGUUUUGAACUCGUAUAUUAGCGCCAUUUAUUGCUGCUUGGACCACAGCAUCUUCGGAAUUUGUAGACAUCCUGGCAGCUUACAAUUAGUUCGAGGUGAGACACUGAAUUUGAGCAGAAACCAUAAGGAUACUCAAAGGACCUGUGACUCUCAGGAAAUGCAUCAAAUGAGAGGGACAGAUGAAACAGUUUCAAGACAAUGGCAGGAAAAACAUGCUGAAGAUUGAAACAAACCUUGGCUGGAAAUAUUUGAAGGUAUCUAGCCAGUCCACAAUGAAAGCUUCGUUGCACCCCAUGAGUCUUCUGGCAGAAAUGAUGGCGCCUGUAUUCUUUGGUUUCCCUAAACAUCACACCCUGCCUGUUUAUACGAGGCUCUUCAAUUAAGUCUGCACCCAAAGAUUCAAUAAGAGGUAAGCAGUGGUAUUAUUCAAGUUUUGCUAAAGAAAGAUGGACAGGAGACACUAAUCUUAAUCAGCCGAGCUCAGGUUCAUGUCCAGGUGAGCAGUUUCAUACGCUAUAAAAUGUAGAUUGAAUGAUA
Molecule: long non-coding RNA, 721 nt
Organism: Oreochromis aureus
Lineage: Eukaryota; Metazoa; Chordata; Actinopteri; Cichliformes; Cichlidae
Exons: 4
Source: RefSeq, a predicted model, not a curated record